CCCUUAGAUGUUCUGGGCCGCACGCGUGCUACACUGAGUGGAUCAGCGGGUCAGGUUGCGCGAAAGUGUUUCCUAAUCUUGAAAUCCGCUCGUGAUGGGGAUCGACGGUUGCAAUUUUCCGUCAUGAACGAGGAAUACCUUGUAAGCGCGGGUCAUCAUCCCGCGCUGAAUACGUCCCUGCCCUUUGUACACACCGCCCGUCGCUCCUACCGAUUGAGUGGUCCGGUGAGGCUUUGGGAUCUGAGCAAAGAGAGCGUUUCGCUCGUUUUGCCCGGAAAACUCAGUCGAACCUUAUCAUUUAGAGGAAGGAGAAGUCGUAACA
This 322-nucleotide ribosomal RNA is filed under the name uncultured eukaryote. Its description in RNAcentral is "partial 18S ribosomal RNA". It matches the Rfam family "Eukaryotic small subunit ribosomal RNA", at positions 1470 to 1796 of the family's 1831-position model. The record is from RNAcentral.